Molecule: long non-coding RNA, 604 nt
Organism: Myotis brandtii (Brandt's bat)
Lineage: Eukaryota; Metazoa; Chordata; Mammalia; Chiroptera; Vespertilionidae
Exons: 2
Source: RefSeq, a predicted model, not a curated record
UCCAUCUGGCAGGAUUCAUUCUUAAUAUUUUUAAUUCUUUUACUGAACUGCCUAGUCUCACUUCAUGUUUCCAGUAACUUCUGUCAUGUCUUCAAACAUAUUUAUUAUUCUGGUGGUAAAUUCCUCUCCUGUUUUCCAUGAGAUCUGCGUUCUCUGGUAUCUCUCAACCUUGCCAUGCUCAGAAUUUGCCCUCUGAGCUCACCUCUGUUCCUGUGGGACCAUUAGCCACCUUGAUGAGUGAGACGCAUCAUGGAGCAGGGAGAAGUCUAGCCAGCUUGUGCUUCCCCAGGUGAAAUGGCCCUCCCCCUCCCUGGCCACCUUCCCUGCCAAUGGACCGAAUCUACUUCUAUCUGCUGCUGGUUACUGAGCACAGCUCUGAGGUCUCUCAUCUCCUCUGACGUCCCUCUGCAAGAGAACACUCCUAUUCACAUAAACCAAGUCUAAAAUGAAAAAGCUGCCGAUGCCGCUUCUGAGGGCCUUUGAACGCUGAGUAGAUAUUAAGGAAUAAUAACACGUUUUAGACGUGAUAACUGGUAUUGUGUUUCUGUUAAAAUAAAGAGUUCUCCUCUUUUAGAAAUAAAUACUAAAAUAUUUAUAGUUGAAA